RNAcentral lists this transfer RNA (75 nucleotides) under Candidatus Altimarinota bacterium. RNAcentral describes it as "Candidatus Gracilibacteria bacterium tRNA-Asn". It matches the Rfam family "tRNA". From Rfam's summary of the family: Transfer RNA (tRNA) molecules are approximately 80 nucleotides in length. Lineage: Bacteria; Candidatus Altimarinota. RNAcentral also lists the same sequence under 1 other name. The record is from RNAcentral.
UCCUCCGUAGCUCAGUGGUAGAGUAGAUGGCUGUUAACCAUUUGGUCACUGGUUCGAAUCCAGUCGGGGGAGCCA